CCUCAUAAAGUGCGUCGUAGUCCGGAUUGGAGUCUGCAACUCGACUCCAUGAAGUCGGAAUCGCUAGUAAUCGUGGAUCAGAAUGCCACGGUGAAUACGUUCCCGGGCCUUGUACACACCGCCCGUCACACCAUGGGAGUGGGUUGCAAAAGAAGUAGGUAGCUUAACCUUCGGGAGGGCGCUUACCACUUUGUGAUUCAUGACUGGGGUGAAGUCGUAACAAGGUAACCGUAGGGGAACCUGCGGUUGGAUCACCUCCUUACCUUAAAGAAGC
This 274-nucleotide ribosomal RNA is filed under the name Campylobacter jejuni. RNAcentral describes it as "partial 16S ribosomal RNA". It matches the Rfam family "Bacterial small subunit ribosomal RNA", at positions 1272 to 1533 of the family's 1533-position model. Lineage: Bacteria; Pseudomonadati; Campylobacterota; Epsilonproteobacteria; Campylobacterales; Campylobacteraceae. RNAcentral also lists the same sequence under 1 other name. The record is from RNAcentral.